Molecule: ribosomal RNA, 739 nt
Filed under: Amplirhagada sp. 'Sale R'
Lineage: Eukaryota; Metazoa; Mollusca; Gastropoda; Stylommatophora; Camaenidae
Description: partial 16S ribosomal RNA
Rfam family: Archaeal large subunit ribosomal RNA
Source: RNAcentral
CGCGAAACCAGACGAGCUACUGCUUCGCGUAUAUUAGUAUAGAGUAUGUGGCAUAAUAUUUUAAGAUAAAGCAGUAGGGGUGAUAGGCUAUCAAGUCUGGUGAUAUCUCGUUACCUUUGAAAUGUAUUAAGUACGGUGUCAAAUCACUAGUGAUAAGGCUGGUGAAACGUAUGUAGUUUAAUAAUUUAAGAGUACAUAGUUUAACCGCUAGUAACUGACCAUACAAAUAUUAGAAUUUAAAGAUAAUAAAUAAUAAAGGGUACUAAUUAAUUACAUUACUUAUUAAUAUUGUGCGUAUUAGUAGUUUAGGUAUCAUUGAUGAACUCGGCAACAUUUCUUUCACCUGUUUAUCAAAAACAUCGCCAGUAGAAAGGACUAUUGGUUAUUUCUGCUCAAUGAACCAUAAAUAGCCGCAGUACCCUGACUGUGCAAAGGUAGCAUAAUCAUUUGGCUUAUAAUUGAAGUCUUGCAUGAAGGAACUCAUGGGGGAAAACUCUAUUAGUGAUAAUUAGUGAACUUCUUUAGGGGGUGCAAAGACCCCCUCGAUAAAUAAUAGACGAGAAGACCCUAGAAAUUUGCAGGAUAUGUAACGAUAACUUUUUGUUGGGGCAACAUCGUAGCAUUUAACCUACAGUAACAACACGCCAUGUUUUAGAAAGAUUAAAUUACUCUAGGGAUAACAGCGUAAUUCUGAAGAGUUUGCGACCUCGAUGUUGGACUAGGAAGCAGCCGCUUAGGA